Molecule: ribosomal RNA, 590 nt
Filed under: Salmonella enterica subsp. enterica serovar Braenderup
Lineage: Bacteria; Pseudomonadati; Pseudomonadota; Gammaproteobacteria; Enterobacterales; Enterobacteriaceae
Description: partial 23S ribosomal RNA
Rfam family: Bacterial large subunit ribosomal RNA
Source: RNAcentral
UUUGAUGUUCUAACGUGGAUCCGUAAUCCGGGUUGCGGACAGUGUCUGGUGGGUAGUUUGACUGGGGCGGUCUCCUCCUAAAGAGUAACGGAGGAGCACGAAGGUUGGCUAAUCCUGGUCGGACAUCAGGAGGUUAGUGCAAUGGCAUAAGCCAGCUUGACUGCGAGCGUGACGGCGCGAGCAGGUGCGAAAGCAGGUCAUAGUGAUCCGGUGGUUCUGAAUGGAAGGGCCAUCGCUCAACGGAUAAAAGGUACUCCGGGGAUAACAGGCUGAUACCGCCCAAGAGUUCAUAUCGACGGCGGUGUUUGGCACCUCGAUGUCGGCUCAUCACAUCCUGGGGCUGAAGUAGGUCCCAAGGGUAUGGCUGUUCGCCAUUUAAAGUGGUACGCGAGCUGGGUUUAGAACGUCGUGAGACAGUUCGGUCCCUAUCUGCCGUGGGCGCUGGAGAACUGAGGGGGGCUGCUCCUAGUACGAGAGGACCGGAGUGGACGCAUCACUGGUGUUCGGGUUGUCAUGCCAAUGGCACUGCCCGGUAGCUAAAUGCGGAAGAGAUAAGUGCUGAAAGCAUCUAAGCACGAAACUUGCCCCGA